This 125-nucleotide small RNA is filed under the name Marmota monax (woodchuck). Lineage: Eukaryota; Metazoa; Chordata; Mammalia; Rodentia; Sciuridae. The record is from RNAcentral.
GCUGGGCACGGUGGCGCUCGCCUGUAAUCCCAGUGGCUCAGGAGGCUGAGACAGGAGGAUCCUAAAUUCAAAGCCAGCCUCAGAAACAGCAAAGUGCUAAGCAACUCAGUGAGACCCUGUCUUUA